This 356-nucleotide transfer-messenger RNA is filed under the name Alphaproteobacteria bacterium. It matches the Rfam family "Alphaproteobacteria transfer-messenger RNA". From Rfam's summary of the family: Bacterial tmRNA, also known as 10Sa RNA or SsrA, is named for its dual tRNA and mRNA-like properties. Its role is to liberate the mRNA from a stalled ribosome. To accomplish this part of the tmRNA is used as a reading frame that ends in a translation stop signal. Lineage: Bacteria; Pseudomonadati; Pseudomonadota; Alphaproteobacteria. The record is from RNAcentral.
GCCCUUUUCAUCCGCCGCACCGUUCCCUAUAUUAGCCGUGUCAGCUUGUCUGACUAUGGUGAUAAACAGGCGAUGUAAUAAGCCGUUCGGACCCGGGGGCGGUACCCGGCGCCUCCACCACAAGCUGCCCUGCUGGGCGGUUUCUGAUGGGGGCGAAAUAGGAUCGACGAAGGUGUAAAGAUCGUACUUUUGCCCGGCAUGGUACCACCGUUAUCGGACUAAACUUGUAGUUGCAAAUGACAACUUUGCGGAAGCACGUCUCGCAGCGUAAGCUGUGCGAUAGCUUCAAAUUCAAGCCCUAGCGGUUCGCACUGCUAGGCGGGGUUCGGAGGUACCUGGCAACAGAAACCUCCACU